RNAcentral lists this ribosomal RNA (253 nucleotides) under uncultured bacterium. RNAcentral describes it as "partial 16S ribosomal RNA". It matches the Rfam family "Bacterial small subunit ribosomal RNA", at positions 524 to 776 of the family's 1533-position model. The record is from RNAcentral.
UACGUAGGGUGCAAGCGUUAAUCGGAAUUACUGGGCGUAAAGCGUGCGCAGGCGGCUUUGCAAGACAGAUGUGAAAUCCCCGGGCUUAACCUGGGGACUGCAUUUGUGACUGCAUGGCUGGAGUGCGGCAGAGGGGGAUGGAAUUCCGCGUGUAGCAGUGAAAUGCGUAGAGAUGUGGAGGAACACCGAUGGCGAAGGCAGCCCCCUGGGUUAACACUGACGCUCAGGCACGAAAGCGUGGGGAGCAAACAGG